UUAUUUGAGAGUUUGAUCCUGGCUCAGGAUGAACGCUGGCGGCGUGCCUAACACAUGCAAGUUGAGCGAUUUACUUCGGUAAAGAGCGGCGGACGGGUGAGUAACGCGUGGGUAACCUACCCUGUACACACGGAUAACAUACCGAAAGGUAUGCUAAUACGGGAUAAUAUAUUUGAGAGGCAUCUCUUAAAUAUCAAAGGUGAGCCAGUACAGGAUGGACCCGCGUCUGAUUAG
Molecule: ribosomal RNA, 234 nt
Filed under: Clostridioides difficile
Lineage: Bacteria; Bacillati; Bacillota; Clostridia; Peptostreptococcales; Peptostreptococcaceae
Description: partial 16S ribosomal RNA
Rfam family: Bacterial small subunit ribosomal RNA
Source: RNAcentral